Molecule: ribosomal RNA, 611 nt
Filed under: uncultured crenarchaeote
Lineage: Archaea; Thermoproteati; Thermoproteota
Description: bacterial SSU rRNA
Rfam family: Archaeal small subunit ribosomal RNA (bases 1-547)
Source: RNAcentral
CGGAGAGACAGCAGAAUGAAGGUCAAGCUGAAGACUUUACCAGACAAGCUGAGAGGUGGUGCAUGGCCGUCGCCAGCUCGUGCCGUGAGAUGUCCUGUUAAGUCAGGUAACGAGCGAGAUCCCUGCCUCUAGUUGCCACCAUUACUCUCAGGAGUAGUGGGGCGAAUUAGCGGGACCGCCGCAGUUAAUGCGGAGGAAGGAAGGGGCCACGGCAGGUCAGUAUGCCCCGAAACUCUGGGGCCACACGCGGGCUGCAAUGGUAACGACAAUUGGUUUCGAAUCCGAAAGGAUGAGGUAAUCCUCAAACGUUACCACAGUUAUGACUGAGGGCUGCAACUCGCCCUCACGAAUAUGGAAUCCCUAGUAACUGCGUGUCAUUAUCGCGCGGUGAAUACGUCCCUGCUCCUUGCACACACCGCCCGUCGUUUCAUUGAAGUGAGCUUUUAGCGAGGUGACGUCUAAUUGGCGUUAUCGAACUUGAGGUUCGUGACAAGGGAAAAGUCGUAACAAGGUGACCGUAGGGGAACCUGCGGUCGGAUCACCUCCCUUAGACAUGGAAGUGUACGGGUGUACAUAAUCUUCACAUUGAAUCAUCGAUGCAAUGCCUCACG